This 301-nucleotide ribosomal RNA is filed under the name uncultured bacterium. RNAcentral describes it as "partial 16S ribosomal RNA". It matches the Rfam family "Bacterial small subunit ribosomal RNA", at positions 509 to 808 of the family's 1533-position model. The record is from RNAcentral.
CAGCAGCCACGGGAAUACGGGGGGGGCAAGUGUUAUUCGGAAUGACUGGGCGUAAAGGGCACGUAGGCGGUGAAAAGGGUGGAAAGUGAAAGUCGCCAAAACACUGGCGGGGUGCUUUCUUGACCAUUUCACUUGAGUGAGAUAGGGGAGAGUGGAAUUUCGUGUGGAGGGAUCAAAUCCUAAGAUAUACGAAGGAACGCCAACCGCGAAGGCAGCUCUCUGGGUCCCCACUGACGCUGGGGUGCGAAAGCAUGGGGAGCAAACAGGAUCAGAUACCCCUGUAGUCCCUGUCUCUUAUACA